Molecule: ribosomal RNA, 229 nt
Filed under: uncultured bacterium
Lineage: Bacteria
Description: partial 16S ribosomal RNA
Rfam family: Bacterial small subunit ribosomal RNA
Source: RNAcentral
UGCGUAGGCGGAAUAUUAAGUCAGUGGUGAAAUCCUGCGGCUCAACCGUAGAACUGCCAUUGAUACUGAUAUUCUUGAAUGUAGUUGAGGUAGGCGGAAUGUGUAAUGUAGCGGUGAAAUGCUUAGAUAUUACACAGAACGCCGAUUGCGAAGGCAGCUUACUAAACUAUGAUUGACGCUGAGGCACGAAAGCGUGGGGAGCGAACAGGAUUAGAUACCCUGGUAGUCC